This is a long non-coding RNA of Gossypium raimondii (Peruvian cotton), 4118 nucleotides long. RefSeq lists it as uncharacterized. The transcript is spliced from 2 exons. NCBI's taxonomy places the organism in Eukaryota, Viridiplantae, Streptophyta, Magnoliopsida, Malvales, Malvaceae. The record is from RefSeq and is a predicted model, not a curated record.
CUUUUCUUCUCUAUACUCAGUAUACAUGUCCAAUUAUUUUUCAUUCCACAUGAAGAAAUUAAUGGUUUUACUCCUUAUCUGUUUUAAUAGUGAGAACUAAUAUUGGCUUUUGUAGUACUUAUCUUCGGGUACUAGCCAUGUAGCCAUGACAUUUUUUUUUUUUGCAAGUUUGGAUCACGGGGAUGUUCUCGGUGUUAUGCUCAAAACAAUUUAAGAACAAAUUAGUUAUAAAGUGGAAGUUAAUUAAAUUAAAAACAUCUAUUUAGAUUGUUAGGUUAAGAUCAACUUGUGGUAUGUGUAACUUAAAAACAAAUUUGAAAUCAAUCAAUCAAAUUGGUUUGUCUUUCUUUGAAGAUGUCUUUGUCUUCAGAAUGGUGUCUCGAAGAUCACAAGCAAAUCGUAGUGCUUCGCCUCUAAUGUUGAUUUAUGCAGACGGUUGUUGAAACCCUUGUAAAGCCCACUAUUCAUUUCUACUAGUUUGAAAAUUUAUUAAUCUAAAUCAAAAGGUAACUAUCUGUUUGCUUCUGGCCAAAUAAGAGCUUUCAACCAAGAGUUUCGGCUUAAGAAGACUAAAAGCUAAUUUGGAGAAACUCAAUGAGACUUGGCAUAAUGGUUUAGGGUUUCUUAGGGAUUAAAAUUGCACAAGAAAAACCUUGAGGAAACGGUGUUUUUCUUAAAAAGAGAAAAAACAACCUUGAAAUACAAUUCUUUGUAUUUUAGAGAUCGAAAGAAAUGCUUGGGAUUUGCUUGAAUAUUGAAAUGCUGGGCCAACCACUAAUUAUAGUGGAAGAUUGGGUGGAAUCACAACUAGCUUGGAACUCCUACUUGAAGAACUCUUAUUCUGCAAGUCCUAGUUGUUCAAUUUAACUUAGUUCCUUAAAUGAAUCUUUCCCAGUAAGGCUACUGACAAGCCUAGGUGCUAGGGGGGAUAAAGAAUUAUUGGAUUGACCUUAUCAGUCCAAUUGGUUUUAGGGCAUAAGAACUUUUAGGAAAACCCUUACCAUUCAAAUUACAAAGAUGAGAUUAAUGCAGGAGACAUCUUUUAAUUGGGUUACAACUAGAUUCCUCCCUUUUUGAUUCUAUAUAGUCGCUAAUUAGGAGACCUCUUUUAAACUAUUUUAUGUUACAGAAUAUUUGUGUAUAAUAUUAAAUGGCAAACUUAUAACGAUUAUGUAGAUUACAUAGCAGAUUUUUAGGGGUUGGAUUUGAUUUAUUUAUUUUAUUUUCUUUCAUUUUACUAUUAAUCCUAGAUAUAUAUGUAAUCCUUGAUAGAAUGAAAUACAAGUUUAGAGAACAUCAGUUUCCCUCUUCUUUUAAGUUCUUUAAAAUUUGUUUCAUGGUAUCAGAGCCUUUCGAAUCAAUUUUUUGGUUCGUGUUUCGUCGCUUCCAUCUCAAAAUAAUUUUUUGUGGGUUUCUUUUCCAAUGAUCGUUGGUGUGCAUUGUUUGCAUAAGGAGUGGUAGCGUCUUUUCAGCCAAUUUGUUGUUUAUAGCCAACAAAAGUCUCGCAUAUGAGGCUAAUGUGCCGCCUAAAGCCAUAUGCCCCACCAUGCACUUACGCAUAGGGGUGCGUGAACAGUCAUCUCGCCACCAUUUUUUGCCUCCACCAGUAGUACUAGAUCAAACAUCUACUCAACCUCCUAUUGUUCAAGCCUAUUCUCAAAGACAAAAGCCUCCUAACUCAUGUACUCCACCAGUUCCUUCAUCGGAAGAUCCAAUCACGAGUGACCUAGAUCCCAGUCUUGAUCUACCUAUUGCUCCUUGAAAAGAAGAAAUGGUGGCUCUGGAUAAUAAUACUUGUGAUUCAGUAAAUUUGCCUACAAAUAAGAAAGCUAUCGGAUGUAAAUGGGCGUUUGCGGUAAGAAAUCUGGAUGUAUACGUGGCUCGACUUGUUGGUGAAGGAUAUGCUUAAACUUAUGGAAUUGUCUAUUCAAACAUUCUCUCCAAUUGCUAAACUAGCUUCUGUUCAAUUGUUCAUCUCCAUGGUAGCUCCAUAUGAUUGGCCCUGGCAUCAGCUGGAUAUAAAGAAUGCUUUGUUACAUAGUGAUCUCCAUGAAGAAGUCUAUAUAGAGCAACCACCUGGUUUUGUUGCUCAGGGGGAGAAAGGGAAAGUUUGUCAUAUUCGAAAAUCUUUAUAUGUUCUGAAACAAACUCCUCGAACUUGGAUUGCCCAACUUAGUGAGGUGGUCCAAGCUUUUGAUUUAAAGAAGAGUAGUUGUAAUCAUUCAGUUUUCUACAAACAUUCAGAGGUAGGUAUGAUUCUACUAGAUAUCUAUCUAAGUCAUAGCAAAUUUUCCAAGCUUUUAUAUGAAUGUCUCAAAAACAGCCACACCCUUAGCCAAAAGUUUAUACAGGUAUAGUUGUAUAGAUAAAAAAUUAUGAAUUUUAGAGUUACCUUAUCUACACUUAACAGGUCCAAUCUCUCCUAAAAUAGUAUAAACUGAUGCCUUUGAAAUAGGAUAUAGAGGAACCUUAAAUCAAGGCAAAGUUAGAAAGGAACAGUUAAUGGGAUCCCUAAAGCAAUUGGGCUUAGUUCAAUAUUUCUAAUGGGAUCUAGUUCAACUGGGUUUGUAUCUCCUUCUAGUCUCCACUUAUCUGGGAGUUAGACUUUGUGUCACUGUAUUGUUUUGAGUAUUGUCGCCUGGGAUCUUGUCAUGUUAGUUUGGAUAAAAAGAGCCUCUCCUUUUGGGCUGUGAACUAAAGCUUUUAUAUUAACCACAAAAUUUAUGGCCUUGUAAUAAAGCCUGUAAACUAAUAUUAAUAUUUUUGUUCUAGGAUGCAUUUUGUAAUUAUGAGUGUGGACUUGAAGAGUUAAAGAUUUUAAAAUAUUUUUGUCAAUUAAUGGAACUAUAAAGUUUGGGGCUUAGAGUUAUAUAUCAUUUUGGCAGUUUGGUUCCCUUUAUCUUUUUUGUUUUUACCGUUUUACAGUUUGCCUAUUCUUUCUUUUGUUUCUUUUUAUGUUUUGUUUUUUUUUAAUUUUCAUUUGGAUUAUUUUUUACUUUAGUAAUUUCUUUUUUUAUUUUUUAAUGUAAUAAGCAAAUAUAUUAUUAUAUAGUUGAUGGGUGUUGAAAGCACCAAAUAUAAAUUUCUAUGACAAAAUAACAGUAAUUAGCAGUAUAGAGCAGUAGGGUCGAAUCCACAGGGACUAGCUAUCUAAUUUUGCCUUUUUUGUGACCAGAAUCGAUGUCGCGGUCACAGUCGUGCCCAUGACCUAUGGGUAGAAAUGCUGAAAUAAAAAUAAAAAUAAAAAUGGGGGGUUUAAAUUGGUUAAGAUAAUAGAAGAAGAAAAUACAAAAAAAAUAAAACAGAUUCGAAAAUGCAAAAAAUAAAUAAAUUUAAGAAAAUAAAAUAAAUGGAUAAAUAAAAUAUAUUUUUAAGCUUAGCCUUAGCCUCGGUGUACUCUAAUCUUGAAUUGGUCCCUGAAAUAGAUUUUCCCUUCCAAGCAAUAAGUUGAUUAUAACGACCAAAAACGCCUCGAUCGCCAACUUUUCCUUAUGUAGUCAAUCCCGGUACAACCUACAAAUUGACUCUUGCCAAAUGCGAUACAUUUGUUCACAAUUUAAGAUUUCGACAGCCUUACGAUCUGAGAAGCCCAACUAGAAUUAACGAUCUCAAUUGAGUGGGUCGUUUAAAUCUGAUCUCUAUCUCCCUUGACAAAAUCCAACUGACUUUUCCCACCUAGACAUGCCAAUUUGUUCACGGAAAUUUGAACACAGCAUUACUGAUUUGUCUUCCCAACUGUACCCUAAACAACUCCAACCCAACGUGCAAUUUUUGAACCGAAGCUAAAUCAACUUUAAGGGACGAAUUUGUACUAUCCCAUACACCGGAGAGAUAGAAAAUACUAUGUUGAGAGGUUUUUUGAGUGGGCUCGUAUCUCACGAUUGUUUUAUUGGAGCAAUUUUCGAGCUAAAGCUAAAAGGGAUUUAGUUAAUCAUGAAAAAAGUCAUACUUUGAAAAUAGAUUUGUGGAAUUGUGCAAAGUGGGAAGGGAAAGGGCCUUGGAAGAUAAUUAAACCAAAAGUUGAAAGUAAAGAAAAAAAAAAGAAUGAAACAACAUAAUAUAAAUGUGAUCCAGGAAAGGAAAAAAAAUAGAGAAUUUAUUAAAUGUGAAAGGUAAAG